GGUUAAGCGACUAAGCGUACACGGUGGAUGCCCUGGCAGUCAGAGGCGAUGAAGGACGUGCUAAUCUGCGAUAAGCGUCGGUGAGGUGAUAUGAACCGUUAUAACCGGCGAUUUCCGAAUGGGGAAACCCAG
RNAcentral lists this ribosomal RNA (132 nucleotides) under Escherichia coli. Its description in RNAcentral is "partial 23S ribosomal RNA". It matches the Rfam family "Bacterial large subunit ribosomal RNA", at positions 1 to 131 of the family's 2925-position model. Lineage: Bacteria; Pseudomonadati; Pseudomonadota; Gammaproteobacteria; Enterobacterales; Enterobacteriaceae. The record is from RNAcentral.